Molecule: long non-coding RNA, 415 nt
Organism: Perognathus longimembris pacificus (Pacific pocket mouse)
Lineage: Eukaryota; Metazoa; Chordata; Mammalia; Rodentia; Heteromyidae
Exons: 2
Source: RefSeq, a predicted model, not a curated record
AGGGAGCCCUUGUGUCAGAAAGCACUACACCACAUACCAUAACAGAUGUGAGUAAAUGCCCACCAACACACAUACAAUGCAGCCAUGUAAUGGAACACUACCCAGCCACAAACAGGAGGGAAUGCUAUCAUGCUACAAUGUGGAGAAUGACGAAAAUGGGGGGAGUAAAAACCUGCAUGAGCCAGACUAUGCUCCACUGUGUGACAUAUCUAGAACAAGGUGUGCAGCCUGGUGGCUGGGCAGUGAGGGCUCCAGGGCAUGUGGAGGAGUAGAACGUGUUUCCUUCCACAUGGAGCAUCUUUCCAGGGUGGCGAAAUGCUCUGGAAUUAGCAUUGGAAGCCCCAGGUCAACCCUAAGAUCAGUGAGUUGACCCACCACUCUAAAGUUUUUUGGGACAUGAAUUAUGUACCAAGGG